RNAcentral lists this ribosomal RNA (404 nucleotides) under uncultured Oscillospiraceae bacterium. RNAcentral describes it as "bacterial SSU rRNA". It matches the Rfam family "Bacterial small subunit ribosomal RNA", at positions 356 to 774 of the family's 1533-position model. Lineage: Bacteria; Bacillati; Bacillota; Clostridia; Eubacteriales; Oscillospiraceae. The record is from RNAcentral.
GGGGGAUAUUGCACAAUGGGCGAAAGCCUGAUGCAGCAACGCCGCGUGAGGGAAGACGGUUUUCGGAUUGUAAACCUCUGUCUUUGGUGAAGAAAAAAAUGACGGUAGCCGAGGAGGAAGCCACGGCUAACUACGUGCCAGCAGCCGCGGUAAUACGUAGGUGGCAAGCGUUGUCCGGAAUUACUGGGUGUAAAGGGAGCGCAGGCGGGGAGACAAGUCAGCUGUGAAAACUAUGGGCUUAACCCAUAAACUGCAGUUGAAACUGUUUUUCUUGAGUGGAGUAGAGGUAGGCGGAAUUCCGAGUGUAGCGGUGAAAUGCGUAGAUAUUCGGAGGAACACCAGUGGCGAAGGCGGCCUACUGGGCUCUAACUGACGCUGAGGCUCGAAAGUGUGGGGAGCAAACA